CGCAAGUGACGGUAGUGGGAGAAGAAGCACCGGCCAACUACGUGCCAGCAGCCGCGGUAAUACGUAGGGUGCGAGCGUUGUCCGGAAUUACUGGGCGUAAAGAGCUCGUAGGCGGUUUGUCGCGUCGUCUGUGAAAUCCCGCAGCUCAACUGCGGGCUUGCAGGCGAUACGGGCAGACUCGAGUACUGCAGGGGAGACUGGAAUUCCUGGUGUAGCGGUGAAAUGCGCAGAUAUCAGGAGGAACACCGGUGGCGAAGGCGGGUCUCUGGGCAGUAACUGACGCUGAGGAGCGAAAGCGUGGGUAGCGAACAGGAUUAGAUACCCUGGUAGUCCACGCCGUAAACGGUGGGCGCUAGGUGUGGGUUUCCUUCCACGGGAUCCGUGCCGUAGCCAACGCAUUAAGCGCCCCGCCUGGGGAGUACGGCCGCAAGGCUAAAACUCAAAGGAAUUGACGGGGGCCCGCACAAGCGGCGGAGCAUGUGGAUUAAUUCGAUGCAACGCGAAGAACCUUACCUGGGUUUGACAUGUACCGGACGACUGCAGAGAUGUGGUUUCCCUUGUGGCCGGUAGACAGGUGGUGCAUGGCUGUCGUCAGCUCGUGUCGUG
This 606-nucleotide ribosomal RNA is filed under the name Rhodococcus pyridinivorans. RNAcentral's name for it is "bacterial SSU rRNA". It matches the Rfam family "Bacterial small subunit ribosomal RNA", at positions 464 to 1069 of the family's 1533-position model. The record is from RNAcentral. Lineage: Bacteria; Bacillati; Actinomycetota; Actinomycetes; Mycobacteriales; Nocardiaceae.